This 612-nucleotide long non-coding RNA is filed under the name Homo sapiens (human). RNAcentral's name for it is "non-protein coding lnc-DNER-2:1". The record is from RNAcentral. Lineage: Eukaryota; Metazoa; Chordata; Mammalia; Primates; Hominidae.
GUCAGAUGUUUCAUCAUUUGAAAUCCAACAUAGUGGAUUUGUGAAGCAGCUGUUGCUUUAUUUGACAUCUAAAAGUGAAAAGGAUGCUGUGAGCAGAGAGAUCAGAUUAAAGCGAUUUCUUCAUGUAUUUUUUUCUUCUCCACUUCCUGGAGAAGAGCCCAUUGGAAGAGUGGAACCAGUGGGUAAUGCACCUUUGUUGGCAUUAGUUCACAAGAUGAACAACUGCCUCAGCCAGAUGGAACAAUUUCCAGUCAAAGUACAUGAUUUCCCUAGUGGAAAUGGGACAGGAGGCAGGUAAGGACCAUUGCCUGGCUAUACCCUUGCCACUGGAAUUUGGUACUUAAUUUCACUGAAGUAAGAUGGCAAGAGGUCUGGUAAAGUCUUGAUUGGCCCAGAAAACAUUCAGCUGUAAUGAUGAAAGAAAUUAAGCACUCUAAAGAAUGAAUCAAAUGCUUUCUUAUCUUUAAAAUUAUACCAUAUGCCUUAAACAGGAUGCUUUAUAAAUAUAUAAUCCAGUGAUUGUAUUUGUAACUUGUAAUAGGCUUAGUUUUCCUUAAAUUGAUACACUUCAGCAUACAAAACUUCCUUAAGAACUUUAUGUUUAACUUCAGU